Molecule: microRNA, 20 nt
Filed under: Chrysemys picta (Painted turtle)
Lineage: Eukaryota; Metazoa; Chordata; Testudines; Emydidae
Description: cpi-miR-9589-3p
Source: miRBase by way of RNAcentral
ACAGGUGGAACCGAGGGCAG